Molecule: long non-coding RNA, 1252 nt
Filed under: Homo sapiens (human)
Lineage: Eukaryota; Metazoa; Chordata; Mammalia; Primates; Hominidae
Description: HSALNT0227319
Source: RNAcentral
AUGGGAGGCAGUUUAAGGGAAUGCCUUCUAACCUAGACAACAUACAGAACCAUGAGCUACAUUAAAAAACUGUUUCAAACCAAUGCAUUUGAAUUUUGUUAUGCAGUAAUAGAUACCUGAAAAACUUGGCUACCAAAUUUCCAGCUCUGCAAGAGCAAUUAGGAAGACUAAUUGAGGUAAGACCUGAAAGCAGUAGGAACUGGAAGUUAAAUUUGAGGGAAGGAACAGAGACCAUUAAAAUCAAAAGAAGAAAUCAAAACACAGCAGUUGGAGACCAUUUAGCAGGAAGAGAGGGGAGAAAACUGCCAAACCCAGCACUAGGCUCCUCACAGUAAACAUUACUAAAUUACAUCACUUAAGAAUCAUGUAUUCAUGACAGCUUGAAGUUAGAAGAAAGAUUACAUUCUCAUCAGCACAUUAUUGGAGAACCCAAGGAGGUAAGGAAUAGUUAUUUUAAAAAAGGUUUUGAUUGUCAAAAAUUAAACUGUGACAUUGUCCCAGAGUUUAAGGAAGCAAGAUUUGAUUUUCUAUAAAUUUAUUAAUGAAGACCACUUCAAUUCCCCAACAGUCUUACGUUUGCAACAUAUUCUUGCCUCAUAACUCUUUCUGAUGUCUGGAUUUCCCAGUGCUGUUAGAGCCAUGGAAACACAUUCAUUGAUUCAUUGAUUCAUUCAGGGAAGAUGCACUGAUAUUUGCUCACCCUGAAUUCCUUUUCUAGAUGUCAUCCACAGAAAGAUGAAUAAGACAUGGUUCAUGUCUCUGACACCAUACCUUCCACUGGGGGAGGGAUAAAGGAGAGACCACGACUAACAUUUACUGAGCUCCAACUACUUCUGCCAGGCACUAGACUAGUUGCUUUGACAUCCUUUAGUUAAUCCUAGUAAUGCCAUCUACUGGACUGUACUCAUCGUAUUUUCAGAUGGCAAAGCAGAGUUUCCGACUGGUAUACAACUUCUGUGUGGACUCAAAAUGUAAGUGAACUGGCUUGCAGUCCUUAUCAGUAGCAUCUCCCCAACCUCCAAAAACCUUAUAUACACUUUAUGGGAAACUGUAAGGUAGAAUGCCAUCAGCAACUGAUUUUAUGGGUUUUGAUCAUUUGUAAGCUCUUUAAUAAUUUGAGUUCACAGCAGAGUCAGAAAAAAGCCUCCCCAGCAUCAUUUCUUCCAUAUUCGAACCGGUUCUCUUUUUCUCUUUCAUGCUACUCUUUAAUUUGAUGACUCCUGAGGUUUCCCCAGAGUGUUUGUCAUUUUUA